Molecule: unclassified non-coding RNA, 545 nt
Filed under: Hevea brasiliensis (rubber tree)
Lineage: Eukaryota; Viridiplantae; Streptophyta; Magnoliopsida; Malpighiales; Euphorbiaceae
Source: RNAcentral
UGCAACCUUCUGCAUACAUUACAGUGCGUCUGCAGUUGGGAGGAUCGCGCUAAGAUGUUCACUGAAGUUGAAGGGAUUAUACGGAGGCAAAUUACUAUGUCCGUCCUUCCUAGCGUGCAGCCUUUUCAUGCUAUCGCGUAUCCCAUUGAUCCAAUGCUGGCACUUGAUAUCAGCCGCAAGUAUGCAGCUCAUUGCUCCAUGAUUGCAUCGCGUUUUGGACUUCCUCCUUUCAAUCAUCCUCCACCAAUUCCUAUAAAGCGUGAUCGUGGCGAGAGACUUAGGAUUGGUUAUGUGAGCAGCGACUUUGGUAAUCAUCCCUUGUCACACCUUAUGGGAUCCGUCUUUGGCAUGCACAACAGAGAGAAUGUUGAGGUUUUCUGCUAUGCUUUGAGCCCAAAUGAUGGUACAGAAUGGAGGCAGCGUAUCCAGUCCGAAGCUGGGCAUUUUGUAGAUGUUUCUGCCAUGUCGUCAGACAUGAUUGCCAAACUGAUUAAUGAGGAUAAAAUACAGAUCCUCGUUAAUCUCAAUGGUUAUACCAAGGGUGC